Molecule: unclassified non-coding RNA, 347 nt
Organism: Erinaceus europaeus (western European hedgehog)
Lineage: Eukaryota; Metazoa; Chordata; Mammalia; Eulipotyphla; Erinaceidae
Gene: 7SK
Rfam family: 7SK RNA
About the family: 7SK was discovered as an abundant small nuclear RNA in the mid-70s but a possible function has only recently been suggested. Two independent studies have found that 7SK RNA binds the CDK9/cyclin T complex (known as elongation factor P-TEFb).
Source: Ensembl
GGAUGUGAGGGCGGAUCUGGCUGCGACAUCUGUCACCCCAUUGACCUCCAGGGUUGAGGCUGAUCUGGCUGGCUAGGCGGGUGUCCCCUUCCUCCCUCACUGCUCCAUGUGCGUCCCUCCAGAAGCUGCACACUCGGUAGAAGAGUAUGGCCUUCCCUGAAUAGAGACGGACAGGUCUUUGGUCGAUGGUAUAUGAGUAGCUGCGCUCCUCUGCUAGAACCUCCAAACAAGCUCUCAAGCAAAGCUUGUGAAGUUCUCCCCUGUGGGGGGGUGGGGGGGGUGGGGAGGAGCUAUUGACAUUCUUCACAUGUAAACACACACACCCCCCAUACACACACACACAGUUU